Molecule: long non-coding RNA, 3244 nt
Organism: Dunckerocampus dactyliophorus (ringed pipefish)
Lineage: Eukaryota; Metazoa; Chordata; Actinopteri; Syngnathiformes; Syngnathidae
Exons: 4
Source: RefSeq, a predicted model, not a curated record
GUUCGGUUGACCCACGUAAACAACUAUUCUCGGCACGCUCGUUAGAGCUAGUAUCGCUGCAGAGGAAAAUGAGCCUAUUUAUCAGCCCUGAAACACCGAGCAAUACGGUUAUGGAGUUUCCACACUACGAUCAAUAAAGAAGAAUGUUCAGAGAUACUCCAAGGAGAAGUGUGGCAGGGUCCAGGUUCUAGCAGCCAGGAAACACUGGGUGAAAAAAACUUUGCUCUGGCGCUCAGACUUUGCCAAACAGUGCAGUGCAACAAUGAAGGACACGUACAAGAAUGUGCUUGGAGGAAGUGGGAGGAAGCCAGAGUGCCCGGAGAAAACCCACGCGCACACGGGGAGAACAUGCAAACUCCACACAGAAAUGCCCAAGGGAGAAUCAAACCCAGGUCUUCCCGAUCUCCAGGCUGUUCCUGUAUUUGCCAACGUGCUAACCACUAGACCACCGUGCGGCCCUGCAGAUAGAUCCAUCCAUCCAUUUUCUAUACCGCUUCUUCCUCAUUAGGGUCGCGGGGGCAUGCUGGAGCCUAUCCCAGCUGACUUCGGGCGACAGGCGGGGUACACCCUGGACUGGUCGCCAGCCAAUCGCAGGGCCCCUGCAGAUAGAUAAUAAAGUUAAUUCAUAUUCUACAUACCUUUUAACUUGUCCUGAAGCACCGAUCCAUGAGUUUGAAAGGCUUGUUAAGUUGGACUUAACUUUCGAGGUUAACUUUCGAGCCCCUCUCGAUGUGGUCCAACACUAUAUACCUUAAAGUAUUGUAACGCCAGACCGUAUAGGCAGAACAAAAACCUUUUUAUUUAAGUCCAGCGAUAACCACACAGCACCACAAUUCCUAACACGGGCUACUGUCACGGCUGCAACCCACGCCGAACUAAUAAAUCUGGUAUAAAGCGUGGCGAUGACAUCACAGGCAGAUGAAUUGAGUGUAUCAUCUGAGAUGUACGGUGUCAAGAGUCACUCUUUACAGGACAAAAAUUCACGAACUCGGGCUCUUUGGAGAGGAGGCGUUGGCUCCGACCAACCACACUGUAACCCUUGGUAACCACAGCAGUCGCCCCGUUCCACAGGCAUUUUGCCUACAUUGGUCUGGGUCGUGAGGGCAGCAGUCUCAGUAGGGAAGUCCAGACUGCCCAUCUCUUCCACCGGGAGGACACCAAGGCCUUUCCAGGCCAGCUGUGAGACAUAAUCCCUCCAGUGUGUUCUAGGUUUGCCCCAGGGCCUUCUCCCGGCUGGGCAUGCCCGGAACACCUCACCAGGGAGGCAUCUGGGAGGCAUCCGGACUAGAUGCCCGAGCCACCUCAACUGGCUCCUCUCGAUGUGAAGGAGCAGCGGCUCUACUCUGAGCCCCUCCCGGAUAGCCAAGCUCCUCUCUUAGGGUGGGUCCAGUCACCGUACGGAAGAAACAAAUGUCUGCUGGUGUUUUGUACAGCGCAUUGAGCUGUGUGACAAAUUUAAAAUCAGUUUGGAUCUUAUGGGUCAAAUUUUGGGUUUAACAGUGCCACUAUGUCAGGGGUGGGCAAACUUUUUGUUUCGCGGGCCGCAUUGAGUUAACAAAAUUGGGAGAGGGGCCAGACUAUAUAUUUGAUACACGCACACUAGUUCAAGCUUAUAAUUCUAACAGUUCACCUGGAAUUAUUUGUCAUAUUUUAGCAGUAAAAGUGUUGUACAAUCUGCUAUAUGUGCUUGUGUACCUUUUUUUCAGGAGCACUUUAACCAUUAGACCACAUCAUGCCAGCUUGUAUGUUAUAAAUUUAAAUUAAAUACUUUGGAAGCAACUGGCGGGCCGAAUUCAAAUGCUUGGCGGGCCGUAUGUGGCCCCAAGGCUGUAGUUUGCCCACCCUUGCACUAUGUGUUGUAUUUUUAAGAAAAUAAUAGCACAGACAACACAGUAUUUUCACCCUUUUGUGUGCAGUGCUUCAGGAGUAGAAGGUGAACUACGUACAGUCAUGUGAGGAAAAAGAGGACACUGUUAUUUUAAGGCAGGGGUGCCCAAACAGGGCUGCAUACUGAAAAAUCAAAGGAUGUGGGGGCCACCUUUUUUGUUAAACCAACCCAUGCAGAUAUGCAAAGACGGUUUUUGUAAAAGGAAAAAAAACAGCUUAUAUCUCAGCUUUGUGUUUUUGGUGACAAAGCAUAUUAUUAGUAUGAACUUUUACUCCUUACGUUGCACAUUUUUGCUAUUUUAAGAAAUGCUAUAAGGUAUAAUUGUAUUUUGGAAAGUGCAGAGGGCCAAUAAAAAAACAGCCACGGCCUGGGCCGCACUUUUGACGUCCCUGACUUAAGACUUGUGUGAAUGUCAUGAAAUGUCUAACAGAUCAAACAAUGGCACUUUAUGACACAAUAAAAUUGAUUUAUUUAAAGCUUACACAUCUCUCUCAUCUUAAUAUGGGUAUAUGACAAUUUUUGGAAAAAUACAGCUUUAUUUUCCUUCUCAGUGUGUCCACAAUGCUCUGUGGACUCUUUCUUUGGGAGCUUUUGUGAAAGAUUAAGUGAGAAACUCAGUGAAAUCACGUCUUUGAGGUUAAGGCUUGAUUGUCUGCUAAAUGUCAGACAAUCAACAAGUCAAAAAGUCUGCGAGUGACUCUUACCAUCCACUCCCCCCUUCAGAGUAAUGUUAGCAUAGGUAGCGCCAUCUUGUAGCUGCAAUUCUUUAACACUGAUGGACACGGUCACGUGUCAGUCAACAAAACCCAGAGCGACCGGAGAGUGAUGUCUCAUCCGGUCCUCUGGUGCCGCACUUGGACCAACAUGAGAGAGUGCUGGGAGAAAAGAGCAGGUCUGCUUUCCAUAAAGAUGUGGUAUCUUGAAAGGGCAGCUCCACUUCAUAAUCAUAAAUCAUCUGCUGGAAAUCUGAGGGGCUCGUCAAUCUCGGCAUACCAAGAUAAGUUUGAUAUCAAGACAGUUUAGUAUCAAAAGAAAGGUAAAAUGUGAGGUCAAUGCCCCACCAAUUUCUCAAAAGCCAUUGUCUUCCUCUUGUGGACAUGACUCAGUCCUGGAUGUUUUUAAAAAGUCAGAAUCUUAGAGGGACAGCUGCAUCUCCGUCUUUCUGCUGCAGGCUUUGGUCGACUUAAGGGUCCCUCAGCAUCUCCUCCGGCUCCAGCCCGUGCAUGUAAUGCCAUUUGUAAUGAGAAUUCUAAACAGAGAAGAGCAGUGAGGCAUGACAGGAAUGUUUCUUUUGGAGGGAGCACCGUGUAAAAAAAAAAAAAAAAAAAAAAAAAAAGACAAAAGAGCCCAAAAGGA